Long non-coding RNA from Myotis myotis, 1306 nucleotides. RefSeq lists it as uncharacterized. The record is from RefSeq and is a predicted model, not a curated record. NCBI's taxonomy places the organism in Eukaryota, Metazoa, Chordata, Mammalia, Chiroptera, Vespertilionidae. The transcript has 7 exons.
CACUAUCCUGCCCUCCCUCCUCCCCUCAGGGCCCUACUUGUGGCUGACAGCCGCCAGGCCCCACCCCUCCCUUGUCUGUGGGCUCAGGACUCAGGGCGCUUGUGAUGGCAUCCAGGACCCACCUGGGUAAUCCAGGGUAAUCUCAUCUUGAAAUCCUUAACUACAGCUGCAAAUCAGCCGCCUCAGCCGAGGAAACCACGGGAAUCUCAUUUGAAGAAGAAUCUGGCCCAAGGAGCCCCCUCCCCAUGAGCUGCUGCUUGAUGGUGUGGCUGCCAUUCCGCAUUCCCUUUUACAGAAGAGGAAACCGAGGAAGCAAAUUCACCUUCGAUGACGCAACCUUUAACCUCAGAGCUGCUUGCUGGAACAGAAGCUUUUCGAUUCUGUGAAAAGUUGGACCAGAACUUGGAGAAGCGAGGGGUGUGAUUAGCACCUGCAAACCCCAACAUCUGCUGAAUACGUACCCCCCGUGGGAAAAGCCACCGUGAGAGGAAAACAGAAGUUUAAAGUUUUGGUUGGAUUGUUCCCCACACCCCACGCCCAAAAGAUACGCUGCCGUCCUAACCCCUGGUCCCUGUGCCUGUGGCCUUAUUUGGAGACAGGAUCUUUGCAGAUGCGAUUGAGUUCGUGUCUGAUUAGGGUGGGCCCUCAUCCAACAGGACUGGUGUCUUUAAAAGAAGACAAGAGAUGGCGACACAGGAGAAUGCCACGUGAGGAGAGAGGCGGAGCCUGGCACCACGAGCCAAGGACCACCAAGGAUUGGUGGGCAGCGCCGGAAGCUGGGAGAAGGCAAGGAAGGAUUCUACCCAGAGUCUCAGAGGGAGCCUGGUCCCGGCUGACCUUCCAGCCUCCAGAAUCGUGAGACAAUGAAUUUCUGUUGCUUUAGGCCCCCCAGUGUGUGGCAUUCGGGACAGCCGCCCCAGGAAACAAAUAUAUUCCCCUAAAAGGCUGUUCAGGUUGCUUCCAAUGUCGAGCUGUUAUAAUAAUGAAGUCUGAGCAGUGUGGCUGGGCCUGGCCGGUCCGGAAACCCCUGGGGACAAUCAUGGACCCAGCCGUGGUGCCUCAGCCUCCGCUCGUACCUUGGCAGGGUUGCCAGACAAAACACCAGACGCCCGUGUCAUAUUUGGGACAUAUCUAGUCUAAAAAAAAAAUCCUUUGUUGCUUAGUUGAAAUUCAAAUUUAACCAGGCCACCGUGUUUUGAUUUGCUAAAUCUGGCAACCCUGACUCUCAGGUUUCCCAACUGUAAUCCCAGACAGUGGGGUUGUGGGCCACCCGCCCUGUACCCGAAGGCGGGCAAACACCCUGGUU